GACGAACGCUGGCGGCGUGCUUAACACAUGCAAGUCGAACGGAAAGGCCCUGCUUUUGUGGGGUGCUCGAGUGGCGAACGGGUGAGUAACACGUGAGUAACCUGCCCUUGACUUUGGGAUAACUUCAGGAAACUGGGGCUAAUACCGGAUAGGAGCUCCUGCUGCAUGGUGGGGGUUGGAAAGUUUCGGCGGCUGGGGAUGGACUCGCGGCUUAUCAGCUUGUUGGUGGGGUAGUGGCUUACCAAGGCUUUGACGGGUAGCCGGCCUGAGAGGGUGACCGGCCACAUUGGGACUGAGAUACGGCCCAGACUCCUACGGGAGGCAGCAGUGGGGAAUAUUGCACAGUGGGCGGAAGCCUGAUGCAGCAACGCCGCGUGCGGGAUGACGGCCUUCGGGUUGUAAACCGCUUUCGCCUGUGACGAAGCGUGAGUGACGGUAAUGGGUAAAGAAGCACCGGCUAACUACGUG
This 468-nucleotide ribosomal RNA is filed under the name uncultured bacterium. Its description in RNAcentral is "partial 16S ribosomal RNA". It matches the Rfam family "Bacterial small subunit ribosomal RNA", at positions 28 to 507 of the family's 1533-position model. The record is from RNAcentral.